Molecule: ribosomal RNA, 253 nt
Filed under: uncultured bacterium
Lineage: Bacteria
Description: partial 16S ribosomal RNA
Rfam family: Bacterial small subunit ribosomal RNA
Source: RNAcentral
UACGUAGGGUGCAAGCGUUAAUCGGAAUUACUGGGCGUAAAGCGUGCGCAGGCGGUUUUGUAAGUCUGUCGUGAAAUCCCCGGGCUUAACCUGGGAACUGCAUUUGUGACUGCAAGGCUGGAGUACGGCAGAGGGGGAUGGAAUUCCGCGUGUAGCAGUGAAAUGCGUAGAUAUGCGGAGGAACACCGAUGGCGAAGGCAAUCCCCUGGGCCUGUACUGACGCUCAUGCACGAAAGCGUGGGGAGCAAACAGG